Molecule: unclassified non-coding RNA, 308 nt
Filed under: uncultured fungus
Lineage: Eukaryota; Fungi
Description: partial contains 5.8S ribosomal RNA and internal transcribed spacer 2
Rfam family: 5.8S ribosomal RNA (bases 1-133)
Source: RNAcentral
UGGCUCUCGCAUCGAUGAAGAACGCAGCGAAAUGCGAUAAGUAAUGUGAAUUGCAGAAUUCAGUGAAUCAUCGAAUCUUUGAACGCACAUUGCGCUCUUUGGUAUUCCGAAGAGCAUGCCUGUUUGAGUGUCAUAAUAAUCUCACCCUUUCCGGUUUUCCGGUUGUGGGUUGGUUGGACGCUGCCAGCUUCACGGUUGGCUCGUCUUAAAUGCAUUAGUGGAUGAUAGCGUGAUAAGUCUUCGCUUGAACACCCACUCUAAUAACAAACUUUUAAUCUGACCUCAAAUCAGGUAGGACUACCCGCUGA